AUUUGAAAAUCAAGGAAAUUCGCAGGGCAAGGAGGGCAUAUGAGAAACAAGGAUAUAGAAUGAAAAAGAAAAUUGAAGCAGGUGAAAGAGCUUUUGAGAAUAUUGAGAAGAUACUGGAUGGGAAAUGUGAACCUGAAUUAUUUAAAGGUAGGGGACCAAUGGACAUACUUCUAACAGCAGCUUUAUAUGGAGAAAAGUUUUCUGGUGUUAGAAAUACAUGACUUUUUAAGAGGGG
RNAcentral lists this unclassified non-coding RNA (235 nucleotides) under Hevea brasiliensis (rubber tree). The record is from RNAcentral. Lineage: Eukaryota; Viridiplantae; Streptophyta; Magnoliopsida; Malpighiales; Euphorbiaceae.